Non-coding RNA from Opisthorchis viverrini, 72 nucleotides. The record is from Rfam. NCBI's taxonomy places the organism in Eukaryota, Metazoa, Platyhelminthes, Trematoda, Opisthorchiida, Opisthorchiidae.
GCGAGACUGGUGUAAUGGUUAUCAUGGCAGCCUUCCAAGUUGUCGAUCCGGGUUCGAUUCCCGGGUCUCGCA